Mercenaria mercenaria is the source of this 12558-nucleotide long non-coding RNA. RefSeq lists it as uncharacterized. The transcript has 2 exons. NCBI's taxonomy places the organism in Eukaryota, Metazoa, Mollusca, Bivalvia, Venerida, Veneridae. The record is from RefSeq and is a predicted model, not a curated record.
AAUCAACUGAAGAAUGCUUUAAAUGAUUAAUUUCUGCCUUUGUGUACAAUCUGUCUUUUACAAUUCUACAAACUCUAACAUUCUACAUCGAAACUGCAAAGAAAUAAGUACGAAAUAUUACCUUAAGAGUCUUAAAUCUGAACACAAAGAAAAUACUGCAUCGUGAAAUUAUGUGACAAAUCUAUUCAAACGUUUGGAAACAAUACAAAUACGAGUCAGAUGCCAAAUACAGCUGAAAGAGUUAAGUAAAACAUUUAAAUGUACUAAUUUGCAUCAAUACCAACCUCUUUGGGCCUGAAUAAUGUGUCCACGAACGAACGACUUGACACAAAUGUUAAACGUAUCUUAAACGUAUUCGUAAUGGCGUGCAAAGUAAAAAGGGAGGUUACUGAUGGCUAUCACAAUCUACAAUUCGUUCUAGAAUUGAUUCGUACCUAGUUAAUAUCGUAAGCGACAGUCACAGUCUUGCUGUAAUUAUUUGUUUACAAAUCUUGCAGCUUGUCUUUGAAUGUUUUCUAAUUUAUCUAUAUCCUUCAGAUGGUAAGGGUUCCAUACACUAGAACAGUUUUGUUAAGUUUGGGGGUUAGAGGUCCUACAGGAUUAUUUAGCCAUGAAAUUCGGCUCAGAAAAAUAAGAAGUCAAGUAGAUUUCACAACACUUUAUAUGAGGUAUAGGAAAACUAAAUAUAUAUGAUGUACAAUAGGUGUACAAGCACUAAAAUAUGAAUACAUACCACACCCCCACACUUACUUAAAACUUAAUUGUAAAAGUUAAGCAAAAAUGUUAUUUAAGGUGAUAUUAUUAAUUGAAAUAACAUGUUCAUACAUUAUUUUUGUUUGAAAAUAUUAUCAAAUUAAAAUAUUCCGAACACAGGUUUACAAUCUAGUUAUUAAUAUAAAGAUAUAAUUAUGUAAGUCUGUUUAUUCAUACAUGUACACAACAUAUCAGCAUAUGAAAAGUAAUAACUACAACUAGUAAAGAAGACUAGAAAACAAAAACUAAAUAAACUAAGUUAUAAGCACUUCUUGUGCUAUGUCAAGAUCAUGCCUGGGGAUUAUUAUGCCCCUUAACACCUGUGAUCUGAUAAAUCAAACACUCUUGACCUUAAUAUAAUCCAGAUUCCACACAUGCAAAUUAUUGUGCCCCUGUUUUGGAAUGAAUGACAGAUCCAACUUAUCCGUUGUUCUUUUACAGUGUGAUUGGAACGUCGUAGUUUUGGAAUGUUGUAGGUCCACAUGUAGCUGUUGAGCACUGGGUUUGUUUGAAUUAUGUCCCUGCUCUGGAACACAUUCACCACUUGAUCUUGAUCUGGAAUCACUAUGAACACUUGUUUAUUCCCUACACUGGUGUCGGAAACUUCAACAGGUGUGGGGUAGAUAUCUGCUGAUCUAUGUUGAUCAGCAUGUCUUCUCCAUGUUACUGGUUCCUUUUGUGUCUUAAUGACACCAGGAAUCCACUUUUCACAUUUCUUGUGAUAAUCUCUUACUAUUACCACAUCUUGUAUUGAAUAGUUCCUGUCCCUUUUUCCGUUGAGAUUUUCCCAUGUGAUUUUCUAAGCUCAGUUUGAACUUAUCUAGCAGGGUCACCAGAGCACGACCAAACAUUAGUUUGGCUUGUGUUUCCUGAGUUGUCGAGUUCUAUGUUCCUAUAUUGCAUAAGAAAUCUUGACAAGUUGGUCUGUAAAGUUCCUGAAUCAUUUGUGAAGGCUAGAGCUUGUUUAAAUGUCUGAACAAAUCUUUCAGCUAAAUCAUUUGUUUUUGGAUGGUACGGUGCUGCAGUUAUGUGACUGACGCCAUUCUUAUAAGAGCUACAGCUACUUGUUUAUCAUCAUUAAGUGACUAUGUAGGCCAAGAACCAUAACUGUAACCUGCAUUUUGUCAGAAUUAUGGUCCCUUUUUGUACUUAGAAAUUCUGAACUACAACACUUUUCUUACAUACUGACCAGCACACUUAUAAACUAUUUUGGCCGAAUUAUGGCCCUUUUUGGACUUUGAAAUUGGUUCAGUUUUUGUAUAAGUCCAUGAUUUGUCAAAACUAUUUGACGUGUGGCUUUGAAACUUUUGAACACUUGUUUAUCAUCAUGAUCUCCAUCUGUAGGCAAGAGUACAUAACUCUGUCAACUCUUUUGGCUGAAUUAUGGCACUUUUUGGACUUAGAAAUCAGUUAAAAAAAUUAUACCAGUCCAUAUUUUGCCUAAUCUUUUUGUCAUAUGUCUUUGAAACUUGUUUACCAUCAUAAUUUUUUUAUACCAGUCAAUAUUUUGCCUAAUCUGUUUGUCAUGUGGCUUUGAAACUUGUUUACCAUCAUUGUCUACAUAUGUAGGCAAGAUUACAUGACUAGGACAAGGACUUUAGCUCAGGUAUGGCCCUUUUUAGCUCGACUUUUCGAAGAAAAAGUAGAGCUAUUGUACUCGCCCCGGCGUCGGAGUCGCUGUUGGUUAAAGUUUUUGAUAAAGUCAAAUAUCUCUGUUACUAUCAAAGCUAUUGACUUGAAACUUAAAAUAGUUAUUUACCAUCAAAGUCUACACCAGGAGAAACAAUCCCCAUAACUCUGAUUUGAAUUUUGACAGAAUUAUGCCCCUUUUUAACUUAGAAUUUUUGGUUAAAGUUUUUGAUAAAGUCAAAUAUCACUGUUACUAUUAAAGCUUUUGACUUGAAACUCAAAAUUGUUAUUUACUAUCAAAAUCUACACCAGGAGACGCAAUUCCCAUAACUCUGAUUUGAAUUUUGACAGAGUUAUAUCCCUUUUUAACUUGGAUUUUUUUUUUUACUGGCAAAGCUCUUAUUCAGAGUCAAGCACUGAGAAAAGUCGAGCGUACUGUCUUAUGGACAGCUCUUGUUUGACAUAGAAAUUAGUUGUGUUUUUCAUACCAUUCCAUAUUUUGUCUAAACUGUUUGAUAUAUGACUUUGAAACUUUUAACAUCAUGGCCACACAUUGCCAUAUAGUGCAAGACUUAUCCAGUUCCACAAAUACAGGUAUGUUGCUGGUCUUAUAUGUUUUUCUUCUUUUGUCUCAGGUAAUAUUUUGACCCCAUACUUUCAUCUGUUCUUCAAAUAGACAGCUCUUGUUUAGAAAACAAAUUGUAUCCAAGAAAGAUAGUAGAAAAGAAGGUUACACAUAGCAGUACAACAGGCCAAGUAAUAACUUUAUUUUCAAGUGACAUACUAAGAAUACUUAAAAAUACAAACCACUUAUUUCCAUUUUGCGUAAAUGACGUACAAUGUAAAUUUCAUCUUUCGUUAAAACUUACAGCUCACCAAUUAUAAACUGAAGUUGUCUUUCCUUUUUAACAGUUUAAUUUUUGCUCAGCAGAAUUUGGUGACAGCAGAUAGUAAGCUCCAAUAUAGGGGAAGAGAAAAUAAUGGCAGAAGACAAUACAACAACAGGGGACACAAUGUGCCAGAUAGAACUAGACUACACAGUUACAAACACAGCACAAAAUCUUAAUUAUAGCACUGUCAUAUAAUGUUGUUUAUUCAAGGAAGUCUGGGUAGCAGUGUGAGCAUAUCUCGUAUGAUUUAAUAGGUAAAACAGAAAAUUUCUAAUCAUUUUAUAUAUGAAUUACUGUUUUUGAAUUGGAAAGGGAUCAUUAAUGGCUCUUAUUGAAAGUGAUGUUUUUGAUGAUGCUGUACUGUGUUAACUGCUGUAAACAGAAACAGUUGAAAUGUUCAGUAUGAUUCUCACACUAAUACUGACUCAAGGACAGGAUCUCGGUUGUUUUUUUGCAGAAACUGUUUUACCUGUAGCUCACUGAGUUACGAUUUGUAUCUCGGGAACCAUUACAUUUGAUUUAGAUUGAAAUGCUGAAAUCUACUAUAAGUUAACUAAGCUAAAAGAUUUAUUAUUGAAUGUGCAUUCGGGCAUCAGCCUUUAGAUGCUUAACUUAUUUUUUCAAAUGUUUUUUCUGUACUGCUACACACAGGAGGGUCAGAUGUUUGGUGGUGAGACACUUUAUUGUAAACAGAAAAUAGACCAGUUUCACAUAAGACAAAUAUAGCAUUCUCGGGGGGUUUCUCGCCAGAUCAGAUUGUAUCUGGAAGUGGAGUGUGUUUAAAUAUCAUGUAUUUUAUGAAUACAAGCACUCUUCUAUAAGAGUUGUUAUAUGAUAAGCCUGACUGGCAGCAAUAAAAUAGACACCUGCAUGCAAGCACACAAAGUCCUCCUUGGAAGGAAAAAAUAUUGUAGGGACGAUAUUGGCCACUAAAAGCUGUGAUCAUAUUGUACAUUUAUAAUAUUGAUCUAUUUAACUUAUUUAUUGAAAUGGUAAAUGCAAUUGGUUUUUAUAUUGUUAAAAUCUGUUAUAUCUUUUAAUUACUGUGAGAAUCAGUGUGCAUGUACUGGUGUAUCAUACUGAUAUCUUACAUGUCUGCAUUCUGUUAAUGAUAUCUAUGAUCAAAAUGUCUCCCACAAGUAGUGGGGGAGACAUACUGAUUUAGUGCUGUCUGUCUGUCACAAAGUUUGUCCACCCAACUCCUCCAACACCAGUGGACAGAUUUAUACCAGGCUUCACAAGAGUGAUUAUUGUCAAGCCUAGUUGUGCAUAUCUUCAGCAUUUUUCGGUUUGAUCAUUUUCAGCGGAGUUGGCCCUUGGUUCAUCAAAUUUUAUGUUUUUGCCACUUCACUUCCAUUAUUUGGCAGAUUUCCACCAGGCCUUACAGGAGUAAUCAGUGCCAAGACUUAUUUCACACAUCGGUGUCUUCCGGUUAAUGUUUUUCAGAGGAGUUAGUUCUUUUUUGUCAGAUCUUAUAUUUUGGCUAAACCUUAUAGGAAUUAUCAGUGUUAAGUCUAGUUAUACAUGUCAUUGGUGUUUUCUGGUUUAGUGUUAUUCAUCAGAGUUAUGGCCCUUGAUUUGUCUUAUUUCACAGUGUACUUUCUCCUUGCUAUAAACAGUUAGGCUGAAUUUCACCAAACCUCACAAGUGAGUAGUGUGAAGCAUAUGUUGUGCAUGUUAUUGUCAUGUUCUGAUCAAGUUAUUUUCAGUGGAGUCAUGACCCUUGAUUUGCCAAAUUUUUAUGCCCCCGGCAUCUACUGAUGCGGGAGACAUAUAGUGAUUGUCCUGUCCGUCUGUACGAGGUUAACCAAAUGGGACAGUUUCGUCUAGCAUCAAUACCCCUUACUAGAUGACUUGAUACUAAUGCAGAUGUAACCUGUGACUAUGCCUCAUCUUCAAACAGCACCUGACCUCAGUUUGACCAUGACCUUGACCUCAUUUUGGACUUCAACCUAAGGUUGCUUAUAUGGGCCAUCUCUUGGUUAACCAAAUGGGACCGUUUCGUCUAGCAUCAAUACCGCUUACAAGAAUGAAUUGAUACUAAUACAGAUGUAACCUGUGACCAUUCCUCAUCUUCAAACAUCACCUGACCUCAGUUUGACCUUGACCUUGACCUCAUUUUGGACUUAGGUUGCUUUAUAUGGGCCAUCUCUUGGUUAACCAAAUGGGACCGUUUCGUCUAGCAUCAAUACCACUUACAAGAAUGAAUUGAUACUAAUACAGAUGUAACCUGUGACCAUUCCUCAUCUUCAAACAUCACCUGACCUGUUUGACCUUGACCUUAUUUUGGACUUGGGUUGCUUUAUAUGGGCCAUCUCUAGGCAUCAAGCGUUUAUUGAAUGCAGCUCCUUGUUAUGCCCCCGAAGGGAGGCAAAUUAAUUUUCAACUGUCCGUCCGUUCGUUUGUUAGUUCGUUCGUCACAACGUUAACUUUUUGCAUGAAGGCACUUUACUCAUGAACCACUGCACCCAGGACCUUCAAACUUCCCAUGCUGACAUUACUUAUUGGGUACACGACCCCUACUGACUUUGGGGUCACCAGGUUAUAGGUCAAGGUCACCAGGUCAAAGGUCAAGGUGCUGCGUGGGCAUUUGUCACCAUUAGUGACAGCUCUUGUUAGCUCGACUAUUCAUAGAAUAGUAGAGCUAUUGGACUCGCCCAUGCGUCGGCGUCCGCAUCGGCGUCCGCGUCCCGAUUUGGUUAAGGUUUUGUAUGUAAGCUGGUAUCUCAAUAACCACUUGUGGGAAUGGAUUGAAACUUCACACACUUAUUCACUGUGAUAAACUGACCUACACUGCACAGGUUCCAUAACUCUAUUUUGCUUUUUUACAAAAUUAUGCCCCUUUUUCGUCUUAGAAAUUUUUGGUUAAGGUUUUGUAUGUAAGCUGGUAUCUCAGUACUUACUAAUGGGAAUGGAUUGAAACUUCACAUACUUGUUCACUGUCAUGAUCUGACAUGCACUAAGCAAGUCCCAUAACUCUGCUCAUUUUUUUUUCAAAAUUAUGCCCCUUUUUCGACUUAGAAAUUUUUAGUUAAGGUUUUGUAUGUAAGCUGGUAUCUCAGUAACCACUUGUGGGAAUGGAUUGAAACUUCACACACUUGUUCACUGUGAUAAACUGACCUACAUUGCACAGGUUCUAUAACUCUAUUCAAAAUUAUGCCCCUUUUUCGACUUAGAAAUUUUUGGUUAAGGUUUUGUAUGUAAGCCGGUAUCUCAGUACUUAAUAAUGGGAAUGGAUUGAAACUUCACAUACUUGUUCACUGUCAUGAUCUGACAUGCACUAAGCAAGUCCCAUAACUCUACUCUUUUUUUUUUCAAAAUUAUGUCCCUUUUUUUGACUUGGCAGUUUUUGGUUAAGUUUUUGUAUGUAAGCUGGUAUCACAGUAUCCACAAAUUGGAAAGGAUCGAAACUUCACACACUUGUUCACUGUCAUGAUAUGACAUGCAGUACAGAGGUUCAAUACCUCUACUUUGCAUUUUACACAAUUAUGCCCCUUUUUCAACUUUUGUAUUAAUUCAAUUGACAAGGCUGUUGAAUAGUCGAGCGUUGCUGUCCUCCGACAGCUCUUGUUUUUUAUCUGUGCUACUUCUCUGAUACCACUGGUUGAAAUUCCAAAAAGCUUCAUAGGAGUUACCACUGCCAAACCUAUCUGUAUAUAUGGUUGGAAUGUUCUGGUUCAUUGAUUUUCCUUGGAGUUUCGGUCCUUAAUUUGUGGCAUUUUACAAUUUUUAUGUGGUAAAUGGUGGGAGACAUAUUUUUUGGUGAAAACAAUCUCUAGUUGUGUUAAAUUUGUGUGAGCAAUAUUUAACAGCAUUUUUAGUUCACGAACUGAAGGUUCAGGAUGAGCUAUUAGUAUAUAUGGAAGGUCCUGUGUCCUUUGUCCAUAAUUCAUUCAAACAUUUUCCAAAACUACUGAUUGCUGUAUUUAUUGUGUACAUGUAUUUAGAAGCUUUGUUUGAAAUAAAAGGACGGCAUGGUUUUGUAACUAUUUACAAUUGUAAUCAAAAUGAUCUUGAAUGACCUGUCUUAUUGUUUCUGGAAAUAUUUCACUUGCUGAUGAUAUGCCAAAGUUUAGCCUUUUAUACCUAUAUAUUCCCUUAUGCAUAUUGAAAGUAGUUACAUAUCUGGAUUCCGGAUGUAAGACUAGCUGGUGAUAUCCAGACUGGAGAACGAGUUUACUGAAGAUUUUCGAUCCAUUUAAAUCGUUCAGAAUUUCAUCAGUUAUUGGCAUAAGAUGUCUUUCUUUUUCAGUUGCUUUGCUGGCCUCUCUCAUAUCCACAUAUAAUCGUAUUUCGUCUGGGUUCUUCUUGGGUGGGGUAACAAUUGGUGAUAUCCAGGAUGCUGGUUCAUUAAUAACUUUUUCAAUGAUGUCUUGGUCUAUUAGCUUGUCAAGUUCUUUUUCUACCUUAUUUCUGAAAGGGGUCCUGCGAUUUCUUUGUGCUACUGGUUUUAUUUCAUUGUUGUGUAAUUUUACUGUUCUGUCUUUUAAUUUACCUAUUCCUUGAUAAAUUCCGGAAUAUUUUUCACCCAAGUUAUCUUCAUUUUUGUCCAGUCUGUGAAUAAUCUCGAUAACUUUCAGCUCAAGGGAAGUUAACGUUCCAUGAUCUCCUUUAACAACAUAGAAUUUUGCUAAUGUUAUUAUAUUGUUUUUCUCCACAGUUAUUUGACAUGCCCCGAGCAACUGCAAUGGCAUACAUCCACCAUAAGGGAGAAGUUUCAGUAUAUUUUUGGUUGAUAGCCUUGGACUUCCUAACUUUCUAUAAGCACUUUCAUCAAGUAUGUUAACUGUUGCGCCAGUGUCUAUUAACACUUUUAUGUCCCUAUCGUUAAGCUUAAUGUUGCACUUUGGGGAUCUUUCAUCCUUUCUUCUUAUUUAAUAUGCGUAUUCUUCAUAUAUAGUACGUAUUUUAACCUAUCGCUACCUGUUAAAGAUUAUUGUGUGGACUUGGAACUUUUUCUUUUUGAACUUUUUUUUUUUGAACUUUUUUUCAAGAUGAACUUCCCUUUGUUGAGACUAUAAAUAAAUCAUAUUGUAACUUUUUUAUAGUUGACCAAAGGGAAAAAUCAAGACCAUUUUUUCUGUGGUACAACAUAGAUGUUAAUUUUAAAUUUUAGGUGUAUUUUAAGGUAUCUCUUCCUGGUAUGGACUUUUUUGUGGUCUUAGAAAAACAAAACUUACUUCCCUUUGUUGCUGCUAUAAAUAGUUUAUUCUUGAAACUUUUUAACCUGGUUGUUAGAAUUGGAUAUGUCAUUGUUUUGGCUUACUUACCAGAUUUAUACAGAAUAUGUUUUACUGUAACAUCUACAUGACGGACGUAUAUUGUGACAUUCUGGCACUCUUGUUAUUUUUUGUUCAUGCCAAGAUGCUGUAUUGGCAUGCAGUAUGUUCUAUGAAAAAUGUCCUUAGGCGGGGGAUGUUGGUAACUCUGUUACAAAUUCUUGUUAAUGAUGGCUUUAAUUUGGUCCCCGUUCUUAUUAUGGUUCCCAUUCAUAAUGGCAGAUUAUUGAAGAAAAUAUCUGCUUUGAAAGACCCUUUUCCGUUAGAAGUUUAAGCUAGUUUUCAUUGUAAUACUGUCUUGCUGAGGGAAGCUGACAUAAGGGUUUUUGUUGGUCAGUUGAUGACUGAAUAUUUGAAUAUUCUUUCAGAAGUUUCACCAUUAUUUGAAUACCAAAACUGCUAUACAUUGCCAUCCAUACUAAAAAUAGAAAAAAUAAGCUUUACAUGGGCUUUUCUUAUGAAUUGCUUAAUGGAUCUUUAUAAAGAUCUUAAUCUCUUGUUACAACAGUAUAAUGAUUGUCAUUACUGUAUGCAGCAAUACAGUGAUGAUCAGUUUCUGCACAUACAGUUAUAUAAAAUUUAAAUAAUUGUCUUUUCUGCAUUGGUGAAACUCCUACAUGUUUGUUAGUCACUUAUCCAACUGAAAAUUACAUUAAAUACUGUAGUUGCCAUUGUAAUAUUACAGAAUCUGCUUGAACAUUAAAAGAUUCUUAUUCAUGCAGUGGUCAUGACAAGAAAACUACAAGAAUACACAGAGCAAACCCAUAGUUGCAAGUUCCAAAUCCAGAAACUAAGAAGUAAGUCAGUGUUAUAGCUGUGACAAGGUUAGAGGCCAGGGGUGUGGAAAUUCCAAUAUUUUUCACUUGUCCACGGACAAAUGAGACUUAAAAAUCUACUUGUCCGCAGUCAAAACUUACAUGCCCUGAUUUUCAACGUUUUAGCAUGCAAAUAAUUAUUUGGAUAAUAAACUACAAGUAGUAACAAACGCUGUAGCUGUUUCAAAAAAUAAGCGUUCGACACUUUAGCAAUGUGUUUGUCCGUGAGGCUGUCGAACGUUUAACAGAAGUAACAGAAAUACCUAAAAGACUGCCCAUCAUGCCAUGCGAAGCCGUGUGAGAUAACAUGAAUUUUUCUGAUUGUUAGAAAACAUGAAACUUCCUGACUCGUACGAGCGAGCCCUUUGUGCUUUGACUGUUGGCUUCGAUUUUUGUUAGCAGACGAAAUUGUUACAACGAAUUUGUCCAAUACUUUGUAAUAAUUGUUUACGUUUCCGGUUUCUAUUCGCCUAGUUAUCGUGUGCAAAAAUCACACGAGAUCUUGACAGGGAACCAAUCAGACCGCAGUGGAAGAGAUGCUAAAUUUAGAUGCAGUAUGAUUUUCCCAAAACUGGAGAAAUCAAGAGGCCCUCAGCAGGUGAAACAUCCGUUUCGUACCUCCAGUUCUUUUAUAAACUCCAUAAACUUGAAGCACUGUUCAGUGUUUUAAGUUAUUCUUUUCUCUUUUUAUUUCAAACCAGAAAAUUUGUGCUUGUCCGCGGACAAACGGAAUGCGAAAACUUACUUGUCCGCCGUCAAAAAGUCCCGAGUCGUACAAGUCAGACAUAGGAAUUCCACACCCCUGGAGGCACUAUAAACAUUCAUCCUUGGGUGUUACCUUGAUUUUAGAACUACAGAUCUUGGUCGGUAUCUCACCUCUUACUUUUAUGCAGUAAUUUCAAAUGGAUGGCUUUUCAUGAAAAUUUACCCUUGACCUUUGAUUUCUAGAACAUUAGUAAUCAGAGGACCCUGCUAAAUCAAAACUUUUUCAGCUUCGCUGUGCACAAAGUGCUUGUGAUGAACUUUUAGGAUAGUUGAAUGUCCAUUUUCAGUUGGUUGUCCACAGUUUCUUCGGACGGACAUCUCCUACAAAGCCAAUUUCUACCAAACUUCACAGGGUUUUCCUUGUGUGGUCCCCUUAUAGAUUCCUUCAAAUCUAGUCAUCCAUGAAGAAUUCUGGUUGCCAUGGCAACAAGAAGGAACAAGAGGGUCAUGAUGACCCUGAAUCGCUCACCUGAGUAAUACGAGCCACAUGUUUCAUAUGGCAAACUGACGCUAAAAUAUUAGAAAGUAGGUCAGUAGGUCACAUUCAUGGUCACUGAAAGUCAGUUUUAAGAUUGGUGUGCAAAACUGUACAUGUCAUCCAAAUUUCAAGGCUGUAUCUUAAGAAACAAGAAAGUAGGUCAGUAGGUCAAGGUCACAGUCAAGUGACUCCUAAUCCUUGGGGUAAUCGGGUAAUUAUAAUUAAACAGUCUAGGAAAUAUGAUCUGAUAAUUUCUAAAUUUUAUUCCUAUAUAACUCAUAUAACAAGUGACCCCCAGGGUGGGGCCUCUUUUCACCCCAGGGGCAUAAUUUGAACAAUCUUGUUAGAGAUCCACUGGGCAAUGCUACAUACCAAAUAUCAAAGGCCUAGGCCUUGAACUUUCAGAAAAGGUUUUUAUUUUUUUCCCCAAUAUAAGUCUAUGUUAAAUUUGGGACCCCCAGGGCAGUUCCUCUUUUGAACCCAGAGGCAUAAUUUUAACAAUUUUGGUAGAGGACCACAAGGCCAUAAAACACACCAAAUAUCAAAAGCCUAGGCCUUGCAGUUUCAGGCAAGAAGAUUUUUACAAAAAAUUCCAAUAUGAGUCUAUGUAAAACUUGAGACCCCCCUGGGCAGGACCUCUUUUCACCCCAGGGGCAUAAUUUGAAUAAUCUUGGUAGAGGACCACAAGGCAAUGCUUCAUAACAAAUAUCAAAGGCCUGGGUCUUUUGGUUUCAGACAAGAAGAUUUUCAAAGUUUUUUCCUAUCGAGUCUAUGUAAAACUUGGGACCCCACCGGGGCAGUGCCUCUUUUCACCCCAGGGGCACAAUUUGAACAAUCUCAUAGAGGACCAUUAGAUAAUGUCACACGCAAAAUAUAAAGGCUCUACGCCUUGCAGUUUUGGACAAGAAGAUUUUUAAAGUCUGCAUGGAAUUCAAUUCUUUGAACCAAUUCGAAAAGGUGCCACCCAAGGAUCAUUCCUGUGAGGUUUGGUGUAAUUCUGCCCAGUGGUUUUUAAGAAGAAGAUUUUAGAAAUCUUGACAGACACACGACUGACAACGGAUGACUGACAAUGGACAUUAAGCAGUCACAAAAGCUCACCAUGAGCCUUUGGCUCAGGUGAGCUAAAACAACUUUUAAAAUCUUCUGUUCAGAAACCACUGGCCUGAUUAGGAAAUAAUUUCACAGAAAUGUUCCAUUUCACCCUCUACUGAAUUCCUUCAAAUCAUUUGCACAUACUCAGUACGCAAAAUAAAUUUGCCUAGUUAUUACAGUCAAGUCCUCUCAAGAACUGCUGAAACGUCAAGUCAGCAAGAGAGCACAGCCUCUCCUUGUCUCAAAUCCAGCCAAAUCAUCUUUACUUUAAACUGUUUAUUGCAUAAUGCAUGUAUUAACAGAAUUACAGAUAUACAUUAACACUUGAUAAAAUUAUAUCAAUAACAUGUUGGGCCACAACUUCUGCCAAAGUUAGCAAUUGACCCUUUAACUAUUACAUAGUAUUAAUUAUUUUAAUGAAUUAAACUAUAUAUUACAAACAAGAUUGAAAGAAAAAAAAACAUAAUGUGACUGAAACUGAAGAAAAAAUAUAAUAACAGUUGAAUAUAAUGCUGCUACUGCCAUCUAUUUGUUCUAAUGGAUCCAUGGGUCAUCCAUUGUUCCUCAGUUUUGGAUAAAUUUGAUUUUAAUAAUUAUCAUUCAAGAUUAAAUUCUAGGAAUUGAUAAAAGUAACACUUCACUACUGGAUUGCUGUUAUCAUUCAUGUACAUAUACGUCUUGUCAUGUUUAAUCUAUGUCUUUGUUUUAAUGUUUUAAUUAACAUUUAUAAAGUUAAUUAGUUUUAAGCGAUUACUAUCAUGUUGUAAAUAACCAUGUAUAUAUUUCAAGAGGCUCACAGGGAAGACUGGGCUUGCCCAACUGUGUCGCCUCUAUAAAUAAAGUCAUUAUUAUUGUUA